This 468-nucleotide ribosomal RNA is filed under the name uncultured bacterium. RNAcentral describes it as "partial 16S ribosomal RNA". It matches the Rfam family "Bacterial small subunit ribosomal RNA", at positions 28 to 507 of the family's 1533-position model. The record is from RNAcentral.
GACGAACGCUGGCGGCGUGCUUAACACAUGCAAGUCGAACGGAAAGGCCCUGCUUUUGUGGGGUGCUCGAGUGGCGAACGGGUGAGUAACACGUGAGUAACCUGCCCUUGACUUUGGGAUAACUUCAGGAAACUGGGGCUAAUACCGGAUAGGAGCUCCUGCUGCAUGGUGGGGGUUGGAAAGUUUCGGCGGUUGGGGAUGGACUCGCGGCUUAUCAGCUUGUUGGUGGGGUAGUGGCUUACCAAGGCUUUGACGGGUAGCCGGCCUGAGAGGGUGACCGGCCACAUUGGGACUGAGAGACGGAGCAGAGUCCUACGGGAGGCAGCAGUGGGGAAUAUUGCACAAUGGGCGGAAGCCUGAGGCAGCAACGCCGCGUGCGGGAUGACGGCCUUCGGGUUGUAAACCGCUUUCGCCUGUGACGAAGCGUGAGUGACGGUAAUGGGUAAAGAAGCACCGGCUAACUACGUG